RNAcentral lists this ribosomal RNA (1749 nucleotides) under Klebsiella pneumoniae. Its description in RNAcentral is "bacterial SSU rRNA". The stretch from base 335 to 1749 matches the Rfam family "Bacterial small subunit ribosomal RNA". Lineage: Bacteria; Pseudomonadati; Pseudomonadota; Gammaproteobacteria; Enterobacterales; Enterobacteriaceae. The record is from RNAcentral.
CGACUUAUAUUCUGUAGCAAGGUUAACCGUAUAGGGGAGCCGCAGGGAAACCGAGUCUUAACUGGGCGUUAAGUUGCAGGGUAUAGACCCGAAACCCGGUGAUCUAGCCAUGGGCAGGUUGAAGGUUGGGUAACACUAACUGGAGGACCGAACCGACUAAUGUUGAAAAAUUAGCGGAUGACUUGUGGCUGGGGGUGAAAGGCCAAUCAAACCGGGAGAUAGCUGGUUCUCCCCGAAAGCUAUUUAGGUAGCGCCUCGUGAAUUCAUCUUCGGGGGUAGAGCACUGUUUCGGCUAGGGGGUCAUCCCGACUUACCAACCCGAUGCAAACUACGAAUACCGAAGAAUGUUAUCACGGGAGACACACGGCGGGUGCUAACGUCCGUCGUGAAGAGGGAAACAACCCAGACCGCCAGCUAAGGUCCCAAAGUCAUGGUUAAGUGGGAAACGAUGUGGGAAGGCACAGACAGCCAGGAUNGGCUCACCUAGGCGACGAUCCCUAGCUGGUCUGAGAGGAUGACCAGCCACACUGGAACUGAGACACGGUCCAGACUCCUACGGGAGGCAGCAGUGGGGAAUAUUGCACAAUGGGCGCAAGCCUGAUGCAGCCAUGCCGCGUGUGUGAAGAAGGCCUUCGGGUUGUAAAGCACUUUCAGCGGGGAGGAAGGCGAUAAGGUUAAUAACCUCAGCGAUUGACGUUACCCGCAGAAGAAGCACCGGCUAACUCCGUGCCAGCAGCCGCGGUAAUACGGAGGGUGCAAGCGUUAAUCGGAAUUACUGGGCGUAAAGCGCACGCAGGCGGUCUGUCAAGUCGGAUGUGAAAUCCCCGGGCUCAACCUGGGAACUGCAUUCGAAACUGGCAGGCUAGAGUCUUGUAGAGGGGGGUAGAAUUCCAGGUGUAGCGGUGAAAUGCGUAGAGAUCUGGAGGAAUACCGGUGGCGAAGGCGGCCCCCUGGACAAAGACUGACGCUCAGGUGCGAAAGCGUGGGGAGCAAACAGGAUUAGAUACCCUGGUAGUCCACGCCGUAAACGAUGUCGAUUUGGAGGUUGUGCCCUUGAGGCGUGGCUUCCGGAGCUAACGCGUUAAAUCGACCGCCUGGGGAGUACGGCCGCAAGGUUAAAACUCAAAUGAAUUGACGGGGGCCCGCACAAGCGGUGGAGCAUGUGGUUUAAUUCGAUGCAACGCGAAGAACCUUACCUGGUCUUGACAUCCACAGAACUUUCCAGAGAUGGAUUGGUGCCUUCGGGAACUGUGAGACAGGUGCUGCAUGGCUGUCGUCAGCUCGUGUUGUGAAAUGUUGGGUUAAGUCCCGCAACGAGCGCAACCCUUAUCCUUUGUUGCCAGCGGUCAGGCCGGGAACUCAAAGGAGACUGCCAGUGAUAAACUGGAGGAAGGUGGGGAUGACGUCAAGUCAUCAUGGCCCUUACGACCAGGGCUACACACGUGCUACAAUGGCAUAUACAAAGAGAAGCGACCUCGCGAGAGCAAGCGGACCUCAUAAAGUAUGUCGUAGUCCGGAUUGGAGUCUGCAACUCGACUCCAUGAAGUCGGAAUCGCUAGUAAUCGUAGAUCAGAAUGCUACGGUGAAUACGUUCCCGGGCCUUGUACACACCGCCCGUCACACCAUGGGAGUGGGUUGCAAAAGAAGUAGGUAGCUUAACCUUCGGGAGGGCGCUUACCACUUUGUGAUUCAUGACUGGGGUGAAGUCGUAACAAGGUAACCGUAGGGGAACCUGCGGUUGGAUCACCU